UCUUCCAUAUAUUUCCAGGUACAGUAAAUGGUCAAGAAUCUUUUGUUAAAGUUAAUUUGCUUAUGAACUGGACUGAAGCUCAGAGUUUCUGCAGGGAGAAUUAUGUUGAUCUACCCAGUAUACGAAAUCAGACAGAAAAUGACAAGGUCACGGUCACAGCAAAUGGAAGCUUUGUGUGGAUUGGUCUGUAUCGAGAAAAGGUGUGGUCUGAUGGGAGUGACUCUCUCUUUCGAUUCUGGGCCACUGGGCAACCAAACUCUGGAAAUGAGCAGUGUGUUGCUGCAGAUUUCAGUGACUCGGGACGAUGGUUGGAUGAAUUGUGCUCUAACAACUUUCCAUCCAUCUGUUUUACGACAAUAACGUUCAGUCUAACGGCACAAACUGAAACCAGCAUCACUCUGCAGUGGAAUAAAGUCAACAACAAUGUCAGCUUUGUUCUCCAGUUUAAUGGUACAGAGACAA
Oreochromis niloticus (Nile tilapia) is the source of this 462-nucleotide long non-coding RNA. RefSeq lists it as uncharacterized. The transcript has 3 exons. The record is from RefSeq and is a predicted model, not a curated record. Lineage: Eukaryota; Metazoa; Chordata; Actinopteri; Cichliformes; Cichlidae.